GUGAAUCAUCGAAUCUUUGAACGCAAAUUGCGCUCUCUUCGGAGAGUAUGCGUGUUUCAGGGUGAGCCUAAAAAAAAUCGACAUAGUCACUGUUUCGCGGUGACAUGCGGCGGAAAGGGGGUCAUCUUAAAGCUGUGGGUUUUAAGCGGCUUAAAAUUUUCUUUACGAUUCCACGAACGUUUCUAAGAUUUACUUCGUAAAC
Molecule: unclassified non-coding RNA, 202 nt
Filed under: Glomus sp.
Lineage: Eukaryota; Fungi; Glomeromycota; Glomeromycetes; Glomerales; Glomeraceae
Description: partial contains 5.8S ribosomal RNA and internal transcribed spacer 2
Rfam family: 5.8S ribosomal RNA (bases 1-65)
Source: RNAcentral